Molecule: ribosomal RNA, 406 nt
Filed under: uncultured Alphaproteobacteria bacterium
Lineage: Bacteria; Pseudomonadati; Pseudomonadota; Alphaproteobacteria
Description: bacterial SSU rRNA
Rfam family: Bacterial small subunit ribosomal RNA
Source: RNAcentral
AGAGUUUGAUCAUGGCUCAGAACGAACGCUGGCGGCAGGCUUAACACAUGCAAGUCGAACGCCUGUAGCAAUACAGGAGUGGCAGACGGGUGAGUAACACGUGGGAACGUGCCCAAAGGUACGGAACAACUCCGGGAAACUGGAGCUAAUACCGUAUGUGCCCGAGAGGGGAAAGAUUUAUCGCCUUUGGAUCGGCCCGCGUCUGAUUAGCUAGUUGGUGGGGUAAUGGCCUACCAAGGCGACGAUCAGUAGCUGGUCUGAGAGGAUGGCCAGCCACACUGGGACUGAGACACGGCCCAGACUCCUACGGGAGGUAGCAGUGGGGAAUAUUGGACAAUGGGCGCAAGCCUGAUCCAGCCAUGCCGCGUGAGUGAUGAAGGCCUUAGGGUUGUAAAGCUCUUUCGCC